GACGAACGCUGGCGGCGUGCUUAACACAUGCAAGUCGAACGGAAAGGCCCUGCUUUUGUGGGGUGCUCGAGUGGCGAACGGGUGAGUAACACGUGAGUAACCUGCCCUUGACUUUGGGAUAACUUCAGGAAACUGGGGCUAAUACCGGAUAGGAGCUCCUGCUGCAUGGUGGGGGUUGGAAAGUUUCGGCGGUUGGGGCUGGACUCGCGGCUUAUCAGCUUGUUGGUGGGGUAGUGGCUUACCAAGGCUUUGACGGGUAGCCGGCCUGAGAGGGUGACCGGCCACAUUGGGACUGAGAUACGGCCCAGACUCCUACGGGAGGCAGCAGUGGGGAAUAUUGCACAAUGGGCGGAAGCCUGAUGCAGCAACGCCGCGUGCGGGAUGACGGCUUUCGGGUUGUAAACCGCUUUCGCCUGUGACGAAGCGUGAGUGACGGUAAUGGGUAAAGAAGCACCGGCUAACUACGUG
This 468-nucleotide ribosomal RNA is filed under the name uncultured bacterium. RNAcentral's name for it is "partial 16S ribosomal RNA". It matches the Rfam family "Bacterial small subunit ribosomal RNA", at positions 28 to 507 of the family's 1533-position model. The record is from RNAcentral.